RNAcentral lists this ribosomal RNA (567 nucleotides) under Trichoderma velutinum. Its description in RNAcentral is "eukaryotic LSU rRNA". The stretch from base 182 to 335 matches the Rfam family "5.8S ribosomal RNA". Lineage: Eukaryota; Fungi; Ascomycota; Sordariomycetes; Hypocreales; Hypocreaceae. The record is from RNAcentral.
CCAAUGUGACGUUACCAAACUGUUGCCUCGGCGGGAUCUUCUGCCCCGGGUGCGUCGCAGCCCCGGACCAAGGCGCCCGCCGGAGGAAUCAACCAAAACUCUUAUUGUAUACCCCCUCGCGGGUUUUUUUAUAAUCUGAGCCUUCUCGGCGCCUCUCGUAGGCGUUUCGAAAAUGAAUCAAAACUUUCAACAACGGAUCUCUUGGUUCUGGCAUCGAUGAAGAACGCAGCGAAAUGCGAUAAGUAAUGUGAAUUGCAGAAUUCAGUGAAUCAUCGAAUCUUUGAACGCACAUUGCGCCCGCCAGUAUUCUGGCGGGCAUGCCUGUCCGAGCGUCAUUUCAACCCUCGAACCCCUCCGGGGGGUCGGCGUUGGGGAUCGGCCUUCCUUCACGGGGGCCGUCUCCGAAAUACAGUGGCGGUCUCGCCGCAGCCUCUCCUGCGCAGUAGUUUGCACACUCGCAUCGGGAGCGCGGCGCGUCCACAGCCGUUAAACACCCAACUUCUGAAAUGUUGACCUCGGAUCAGGUAGGAAUACCCGCUGAACUUAAGCAUAUCAAUAAGCGGAGGA